GUCCACGGUGUAAACGCUGCGGGCUUGGUGUUGGGGAUCCUACGAGGGUGUCCAGUGCCGGAGAGAAGUUGUUAAGCCCGCCGCCUGGGGGAGUACGAUCGCAAGAUUGAAACUUAAAGGAAUUGGCGGGGGGAGCACUGCAACGGGUGGAGCGUGCGGUUCAAUUGGAUUCAACGCCGGAAAACUCACCAGGAGCGACUGUUACAUGAAGGUCAAGCUGAUGACUUACCUAA
RNAcentral lists this ribosomal RNA (233 nucleotides) under uncultured bacterium. Its description in RNAcentral is "partial 16S ribosomal RNA". It matches the Rfam family "Archaeal small subunit ribosomal RNA", at positions 744 to 975 of the family's 1478-position model. The record is from RNAcentral.